Long non-coding RNA from Girardinichthys multiradiatus, 878 nucleotides. RefSeq lists it as uncharacterized. The transcript has 2 exons. Lineage: Eukaryota; Metazoa; Chordata; Actinopteri; Cyprinodontiformes; Goodeidae. The record is from RefSeq and is a predicted model, not a curated record.
GGUUUUAGAGCAGGUGUGCAUCCUUUGUUAGAAUCAAUGCAUGGAGAGAAGAGGAGACAUGCACCGGUUUUCAACCUGUGGAUACUGCUGAUGCUACUGAUGGUGAUGAUUCUGCGUCUGCAUAUAUCAUCUUUAAAUUAAAUUAAUAAAGAUGAUAAGAAGAGUUGAACCAAUAUCUGCUUCCUUCUCGAUCCUCUCAAGUCGGAUCAGAAUUUGUGUAUAACGACUUGACAGUACCUAUCUCUAGCAGUCUACAGGCGAGAGGUGGGGUACACCCUGGACAGGCUGCCAUAUCAUUUCAGGGCAACACAAAGGACAAACAACCAUGCACACACCCAAUCGAGAGAGCCACAGUUAUGUUUUUGAACUCUGGCAGGAAGCCAGAGUACCCAGAAAGACCCCGGGCUGGAAGUCAAACCAAGGACCUUUUUUCUGCAAGGCAACAGUACUACCAACUGCGCCAGUGAGCAGCCACAGAAAAUUCAGUCUAGCCCAAAAUUAUCUGUACGCCUAGAGAUAAUUCAAUCAAUCUUUUAAUUUUUCUACAAUGUUUCAUCUGACUGGAAGUAAUCUUAACAUUUUAAAGUGACCCAGCCAGAGUUCUGAAUCUGCUAAAAAAUAUGCUAAAGAUAAGGGUGAGGGCAAGAAGACCUUCCAACCUCAAAGACUCGGAGGUUAUCGGAAAAGGGGAAUUGUGAAAAAUACCAGAGGUGGGGUGCAAAUAGCUGGUCAGCAAUUUUUGACUGGGAUGUUGCUGUGAUCCCAAUAAGGAGUUUUCCAAUCAUUACUGAGAGAGAUGAAUAGGUUUUUACAUAUUAUGCUUUUUGAAAAUGUAAAUAGAAGAAAUUAUUCCUUUUCUUAUAAAAUGGUACCUUUUU